This 759-nucleotide long non-coding RNA is filed under the name Phascolarctos cinereus (koala). Its description in RNAcentral is "lncRNA (ENSPCIG00000021947.2)". Lineage: Eukaryota; Metazoa; Chordata; Mammalia; Diprotodontia; Phascolarctidae. The record is from RNAcentral.
UUUAGAGGUCAUCUAAUCUAAUGUUCCCAUUUUAUAGAUGCAGAAACUUAGGCUCAGGAAAGGAACUGACAUCUAAGGUCACAAAGGAAGCAAAUCAGCAAAGUCAGGCUUUCAACAGUGGUCAAGUAGCGACAGAACAUGGAACACCAGGAACAAGCAAAAUCCAAUGAUCGGUGCAAGAAGUUCAAGAUUUCUCAGCAGUUGUUUCAGUCUGGCCCACCAGCCCAUAGGUCCAGAGUGUGAAGGGCAUUGGACAAGCGCCCCCCCCCCCACUGGCAUCCAGGUCACAGAGUCCGGAACAGAAUCCAUGCCUGCUGUGAACACCACAUUGGAAACGUUUGUCAGUUGACAAAGUGCUCUCCGCACCCUCAGCCCUGGAGGGAGGGAGAGACACUCCAAUGUGGGGAGACUGCUCUUGGGGCUGCCAACGUUUACAGUGUGUUAGCGCCAAGACUCCUUGGGGCUGGAUCCUCUGAGACCGAUGACCGCCUCCAGAAGAGGAGCGUUAGCGACCAAGCUCAGGCUGCCUUUCUUCAUCCCUCGCCACCGAUGCUUCUCCUAACGGAGCUGCCCAUCCCAAGCACAGCAUGUCAGCCUCAGAUCAGCGAUUUUGCUGCAGCCAACAUGUAACCCAGUUCGAGAAUGAUGCUAAAGAGAACUGAAUGCUAACCACUCUGUGUGAGCCAGGCUCAGAAUUUCAAGAGACACAAAGUCCUGGCUCUCACUUGAUCAAACUACUGAGGUUAUUGAAUAAUACAC